GAUGAAGAACGUAGCGAAAUGCGAUACUUGGUGUGAAUUGCAGAAUCCCGUGAACCAUCGAGUCUUUGAACGCAAGUUGCGCCCGAAGCCAUCAGGUUGAGGGCACGUCUGCCUGGGCGUCACAUAUCGUUGCUCGAUGCCUAUCGCAUUGCGAUAGGACUUAGGGCGAAUGAUGGCUUCCCGUGAGCGUUGUUGCCUCGCGGUUGGUUGAAAAUCGAGUCCUUGGUAGGGUGUGCCAUGAUAGAUGGUGGUCGAGUUAGCACGAAACCGAUCAUGUGCAUGCUCCCCAAAAUAUGGCCUCUGUGACCCACAAGCGUCUUUUGACGCUCAUGACGAGACCUCAGGUCAGGCGGGGCUACCCGCUGAAUUUAAGAAUAUCAAUAAGCGGAGGA
This 392-nucleotide unclassified non-coding RNA is filed under the name soil metagenome. RNAcentral describes it as "partial contains 5.8S ribosomal RNA, internal transcribed spacer 2, and large subunit ribosomal RNA". The stretch from base 1 to 122 matches the Rfam family "5.8S ribosomal RNA", at positions 35 to 154 of the family's 154-position model. The record is from RNAcentral.